UUUUGAUUAUCCCGAGCGGCCUGCUCGUGGCCACACGAUCCCGCAGCCCACGCGCUAUCCGACGAGGUCCCAGCACACCCCACCGACAGCCUCUCUCUUUCUCUCGACAAGGUCGCAGCACACCCCACCCACCCUACACACGACUUCUCUCCCGACCCGCGUCUCUCUAUUCUCUCUCCCCCCACCGAUCUGGAUCCAAGGGAGUUCUGUGGCCUUUCCCUCGACGCCGGCCACCAGAAGCCCCCCAGCAGCCGGCCACCAGGAGCCCGAACUAGCCGGCCACCACGCUUCACCGGCGCAUCGGCGGAGGGGAGUACCGCCCUGUGUGGCUUUUCCCCGAGGUCCUUGUCGCACCACAACUAGCCCAGUCCACCACGGCAUCCCUUCAGCGCAGAGCGAUGGGCUUUGUUUGAUUCAGGGACAACGACGGAAGGAGGAGACAAAUUCAUGACUGAGUAGAAGAUUUGUUUGCUUAUGUACAGACAGCCAAGUACACUGAACAUUUUCCUACGGUGGUGAAAGUCGAACUGAAUACGUUGAACUGAUGUGACCGAAUUCAUGCGGUUGCAUAAGCAAAGCUGGGAUCAAUCUCCAGCUCCGGCCGUCGAUCAAAUCCACAGAUUACCUUUGUAGCCAUAGCUUUUGCAGGAUGAUGAAUAGACCUAGCUGCAGGGCUGACAGAUAAAUCGGCUGUUGAAAGAGCAGUCCGUCUCAAAGUAACAAGGCCAGCGAACAGUAAAAAAUGUAUGAGCAAAAGAAGAGCCAUGCUUAACAACGCAUAUAGGGCAUCCCGUCGACGCACACACGGGCAUCAGUUUUUGUUGGCAUCUAUAGUGUUUUGGUUGCACACAUAAUCAUUCUCAGUUGGUUAAGUUAUGCACACGUCGAUUAUUUGUUGUUGGCAUCUAGUGGUUCUAGUUGCACAUAUAGUCAUUCUUUGUCGAAUACGAUCGUUGAAGGAGAAUUGGGAUCUGGGUGUAAGUUGAUAUGUUGUUUGCUAUUUUUUGU
Molecule: non-coding RNA, 1008 nt
Organism: Triticum urartu
Lineage: Eukaryota; Viridiplantae; Streptophyta; Magnoliopsida; Poales; Poaceae
Source: RefSeq, a predicted model, not a curated record